CCUAGGGCGGACGCCCGUCAGAGCGUCGUCGUUUAUGCACUCACCCACGGCGUCCGCAUCCCCUGCAAAGACUUCCGUUCGAUGUGCACCUGCGAACGUACUCCGUCAAGUAAGAAGAAUAGUGAAUUCACAAUUUUAAUGUUAAUAUCUGUAGCGGAAUUUUCUAUUUUGACGCCCACGAUUUAUUGAAUGUAAAUGCGUAACCAACGCUGUUGAUGUUGUGGCUGUACUGUUGAAAUGCGAACGGGCUCCUAGGGCGGACGCCCGUCAGAGCGUCGUCGUUUAUGCACUCACCCACGGCGUCCGCAUCCCCUGCAAAGACUUCCGUUCGAUGUGCACCUGCGAACGUACUCCGUCAAGUAAGAAGAAUAGUGAAUUCACAAUUUUAAUGUUAAUAUCUGUAGCGGAAUUUUCUAUUUUGACGCCCACGAUUUAUUGAAUGUAAAUGCGUAACCAACGCUGUUGAUGUUGCUGGCUGUACUGUUGAAAUGUGAGUGAGGCUACACUUCUUGGCACCAGAAAUGUAUGAAAGGACCCAGGAACGAUAACGAAUAGCUUUAGUGCUGGAUGACUGCACUGCACGGCACUGCCACUCAACAAGCGCAAGAAUCUUCCUCUUCUUCAAAACAGUUGUGCACAGCUUAUUGAUCUGACAUGGAAUGAUACGGCCACGGUUUGCUCCAGGGUCAUGUUGCAUACGUCAAACGGACACUUACACUUUGUUCAGGGAGAAGCAGCAGCAGGAAUAGGCCUCUAAGCCUAAGAUGGAUACUCAAAAAGUGAAUGCACGAAGUAUGCUGGAACGAAAGACACAGAAACCGCUGCGCUCCUCACGUGCAUUUGUUUUCAGCCAGUAGCAGACGACGUUCGAGAGGGCGCCACAUCUCAAGAAAAUGGUCCAUUCAAUUGGCAAUGGAGAAAUACCUGUCAGCCCUCAAAAAUGCAACCCAAUUAUUUAGGAAUUAUUUUGGUGUGCUUCUAGCUCUUUCCUUAGUGUAAUUGAUGUAUCACAUCUCCAACAUAUAAGUGAAACAGCCAUAGCUUAUCACAGUUUUUAUGGUACUGCAUUGUUGUCACAUACCCGAGCAGCACAAUAUGUCGGGUGAGGGUCGGGGUCCCAUCGGGGCAACCGGGCCGCUGCUGGUCAAUACCGCAUACCGAGAGCCAGCACGAUCCCGUUUGGACAUCGGUGGAGAGAAACGAGAGAGUAAGGAGGGUAGCGUCGACCCCCGACUGGUAACGGGGCUAUACCCGACGGUCUGGGUUCUGGGCCGCACAUCACCGGCUGGCUACCGGCCCUACGGGCCCUCGGCGCGCAUGUGACCGUAUUCCGCGCAUGCGUGAGUAUUUGUUUCCCUCUCCUCUAAUUCGCUUUAGUUUGUUUGUGGUGUCCGUUGACCAGACGCGCUGUCAACCGUCAAAUAAAAGAUGUUUGCCAUUAGGCAAACAUACAUAACACGCAGGUAAGUUUGCGCAGGUAAACAUGCAGUUAAGUUUUUCGUUUUCUCUUUUUGCUAACAUCUGUGUUGCUACACGACAGCGUCGUGCUGCAAGGUCCGCUCAAGGUGGGCAUGGGCAUGUUGCUCUAUUGUAUCACAUAGUCGUGUUACGACAAUGUCUUGCAGGUCUUUAUAGAAAUAUACUCACCGUAUUACUUGAUAUAUAUAUAUAUAUAAGAAAAAACAGGCGUCAGUGGAACAGCGUUUGCAAGUGUCCCAGCAGUUCAAUGAAACGUACUGCCAGCGAAAUUUGGUUACCAACUUCGACGUCCCGGACCUCCCUGUGAAAACUGAUGGCGAUCUUCUCAAGCUUGACACAGUACUGGCAAAGGCCAGAGGCAGGGCACAUAUGAUUGAGAUGCUGUCCCGGCUGGGAGAGAACUCAAUUCAAGAAACGGUGCAGAUUGUCAUGAACAAGCUGCUGACCAACAGCGUAGCAUUGCUCUACAGUCUGAAGGGCGCUCAGCAGAAGCAUAACUUCUCCACUUUGCGACUACAUUCUUGCAUUCUUGAAGUACUUCUAAAGCGGUACCCGGCAUCGACAGAGAAAGACAUUGACGGGAAACUUGGUCGCUUUCUUGCCAGGGCGCAAGACCGAGAAGGGCACGUGAAGCUCGAAAGAGGGAAGCUACAGCAGAGGCCGGGAACAGCGAACACGAAUAGAAUACUUGCUGCGAUGAAAACGGCGAACAAGGAAAGAACAUCUGCUUUUUAUUUUUUAAAGAAGCAAAUAUUUGUAAAAGUACCGGAAUAAACUGUUCCAAGCAUUUCUAAA
Long non-coding RNA from Ornithodoros turicata, 2274 nucleotides. RefSeq lists it as uncharacterized. NCBI's taxonomy places the organism in Eukaryota, Metazoa, Arthropoda, Arachnida, Ixodida, Argasidae. The transcript has 3 exons. The record is from RefSeq and is a predicted model, not a curated record.